UUCCCCGAUAGCUCAACUGGUAGAGCGAGCGGCUGUUAACCGCUAGGUUGUAGGUUCGAGUCCUACUCGGGGAGA
Molecule: transfer RNA, 75 nt
Filed under: subsurface metagenome
Description: tRNA-Asn
Rfam family: tRNA
About the family: Transfer RNA (tRNA) molecules are approximately 80 nucleotides in length. Their secondary structure includes four short double-helical elements and three loops (D, anti-codon, and T loops).
Source: RNAcentral